This 459-nucleotide ribosomal RNA is filed under the name uncultured bacterium. RNAcentral describes it as "bacterial SSU rRNA". It matches the Rfam family "Bacterial small subunit ribosomal RNA", at positions 28 to 498 of the family's 1533-position model. The record is from RNAcentral.
GACGAACGCUGGCGGCGCGCCUAACACAUGCAAGUCGAACGGAGCUGAGAGGAGCUUGCUUUUCUUAGCUUAGUGGCGAACGGGUGAGUAACGCGUGAGUAACCUGCCCUGGAGUGGGGGACAACAGUUGGAAACGACUGCUAAUACCGCAUAAGCCCACGAUCCGGCAUCGGAUUGAGGGAAAAGGAUUUAUUCGCUUCAGGAUGGACUCGCGUCCAAUUAGCUAGUUGGUGAGGUAACGGCCCACCAAGGCGACGAUUGGUAGCCGGACUGAGAGGUUGAACGGCCACAUUGGGACUGAGGCACGGCCCAGACUCCUACGGGAGGCAGCAGUGGGGGAUAUUGCACAAUGGGGGAAACCCUGAUGCAGCGACGCCGCGUGGAGGAAGAAGGUUUUCGGAUUGUAAACUCCUGUCGUUAGGGACGAUAAUGACGGUACCUAACAAGAAAGCACCGGCU